UUUGACAUACAAGUAGUAGGAAGGAAACUGGACCGACCCUUCGGGGAGCUUGUACAGGUGCUGCAUGGCUGUCGUCAGCUCGUGUCGUGAGAUGUUCGGUUAAGUCCGCUAACGAGCGCAACCCUCGCUGUGUGUUACAAGUGUCACACGGAACUGCCGGUCAUAAACCGGAGGAAGGUGGGAUGACGUCAAGUCAGCAUGGCCUUUAUAUCCUGGGCUACACACACGCUACAAUGGGAAGGGACAAUAGGUUGCGAAGCCGCGAGGCGGAGCCAAUCCAGCAAAACUUCCCUCAGUUCAGAUUGCAGGCUGCAACUCGCCUGCAUGAAGUUGGAGUUGCUAGUAAACGCAGGUCAGCCAUACUGCGUUGAAUACGUUCCCGGGGCUU
This 388-nucleotide ribosomal RNA is filed under the name uncultured Anaerolineaceae bacterium. RNAcentral describes it as "bacterial SSU rRNA". It matches the Rfam family "Bacterial small subunit ribosomal RNA", at positions 980 to 1382 of the family's 1533-position model. The record is from RNAcentral. Lineage: Bacteria; Bacillati; Chloroflexota; Anaerolineae; Anaerolineales; Anaerolineaceae.